Long non-coding RNA from Salvia miltiorrhiza (redroot sage), 729 nucleotides. RefSeq lists it as uncharacterized. NCBI's taxonomy places the organism in Eukaryota, Viridiplantae, Streptophyta, Magnoliopsida, Lamiales, Lamiaceae. The transcript has 2 exons. The record is from RefSeq and is a predicted model, not a curated record.
ACCACUUGGAGUUUUCGACUCUACUUUUUUUUAUAUGAAACUAGACUCGAAGAUCUUUCUUUCGGUAUGAGUCUCGAGUCCAGGAGAUGUCGGAGUCAGAACAGAUUAAAUUUUGAAGUUGAGUCAGUGUUAAAACAGAGCAUGUUUUGAUGAUGUUUGAUUGUGAUUCUUAUGUGCCUUAUGUGUUUGUGUUGCCUAUGUGUUUGAAUGAGAUUAGACGAGGUAUGAUUGAUUUUUGACUGUCUUUAAUGUAACGAAUUAUGGAUGCUAGAACCCUAAAACAUUAAAAGAUACCCUAGGCACGUAGAAUUAGACUUUGUCUUAUGACAAUUUCUUCACGAACUUAUCGACUCUUCAUCAAUGAAGGUCCGGGCGACAGAAAGUGAAGCCGAAGAAGAAACGACUCCACGCCAGCUUUAAGAACAAUUGAGGUUGAGCAGGCGAUGGAAUGGAUCGGUGUUGAGCGGAUUUCCCUUUUGAUGUUUAUGUAAUGAAACCUUGAGUAUGCAUCUCCAUAUGCAUAACUCACACGUUUUUUUCGCUGCAAACACUCUGACUUAUUUAUCAUUUCUACUUGAACUUAUUACUACUUCAUUUUAAUUAACUUUCAGUUGGGGUCUAAUCGUUAUGGCAGACUCAUUUGUGAAUUACCCAAGUGGUUAUAUAUAUAUACCACUAGUUUGUUAUUAAUGUUGGUUACUUAGUAAAUCCCCUUUAAUUUCCGUUUCU